AUUAGCCAUGCAUGUCUCAGUACAUGCCGCAUUAAGGUGAAACCGCGAAUGGCUCAUUAAAUCAGUUAUGGUUUCUUAGAUCAUACCUAAAUUUACUUGGAUAACUGUGGUAAUUCUAGAGCUAAUACAUGCAAACAGAUUCCGACCAGAGAUGGUAGGAAUGCUUUUAUUAGAUCAAAACCAAUCGGUGGCGGAUGGCUCGUCUGUCCGUCCAUCGUUUGUUUUGGUGACUCUGAAUAACUUUGUGCUGAUCGCAUGGUCAUCUAGCACCGGCGACGCAUCUUUCAAAUGUCUGCCUUAUCAACUGUCGAUGGUAGGUUCUGCGCCUACCAUGGUUGUAACGGGUAACGGGGAAUCAGGGUUCGAUUCCGGAGAGGGAGCCUGAGAAACAGCUACCACAUCCAAGGAAGGCAGCAGGCGCGCAAAUUACCCACUCCCGGCACGGGGAGGUAGUGACGAAAAAUAACGAUACGGGACUCAUCCGAGGCCCCGUAAUCGGAAUGAGUACACUUUAAAUCCUUUAACGAGGACCAAUUGGAGGGCAAGUCUGGUGCCAGCAGCCGCGGUAAUUCCAGCUCCAAUAGCGUAUAUUAAAGUUGUUGCGGUUAAAAAGCUCGUAGUUGAAUCUGUGUGUCACAGUGUCGGUUCACCGCUCGCGGUGUUUAACUGGCAUUAUGUGGUACGUCCUAUCGGUGGGCUUAGCUCCUCGCGGGCGGUCCAACUAAUAUCCCAUCGCGGUGCUCUUCACUGAGUGUCGAGGUGGGCCGAUACGUUUACUUUGAACAAAUUAGAGUGCUUAAAGCAGGCUACCUUCGCCUGAAUACUGUGUGCAUGGAAUAAUGGAAUAGGACCUCGGUUCUAUUUUGUUGGUUUUCGGAGCCCCGAGGUAAUGAUUAAUAGGGACAGAUGGGGGCAUUCGUAUUGCGACGUUAGAGGUGAAAUUCUUGGAUCGUCGCAAGACGGACAGAAGCGAAAGCAUUUGCCAAAAAUGUUUUCAUUAAUCAAGAACGAAAGUUAGAGGUU
RNAcentral lists this ribosomal RNA (1023 nucleotides) under Bombus ignitus. Its description in RNAcentral is "SSU rRNA". It matches the Rfam family "Eukaryotic small subunit ribosomal RNA", at positions 44 to 998 of the family's 1831-position model. The record is from RNAcentral. Lineage: Eukaryota; Metazoa; Arthropoda; Insecta; Hymenoptera; Apidae.